GGGUUGUGAGGUUAAGCGACUAAGCGUACACGGUGGAUGCCCUGGCAGUCAGAGGCGAUGAAGGGCGUGCUAAUCUGCGAUAAGCGCCGGUAAGGUGAUAUGAACCGUUAUAACCGGCGAUACCCGAAUGGGGAAACCCAGUGUGACUCGUCACACUAUCAUUAACUGAAUCCAUAGGUUAAUGAGGCGAACCGGGGGAACUGAAACAUCUAAGUACCCCGAGGAAAAGAAAUCAACCGAGAUUCCCCCAGUAGCGGCGAGCGAACGGGGAGGAGCCCAGAGCCUGAAUCAGCAUGUGUGUUAGUGGAAGCGUCUGGAAAGGCGCGCGAUACAGGGUGACAGCCCCGUACACAAAAGCACAUGUGCUGUGAGCUCGAUGAGUAGGGCGGGACACGUGGUAUCCUGUCUGAAUAUGGGGGGACCAUCCUCCAAGGCUAAAUACUCCUGACUGACCGAUAGUGAACCAGUACCGUGAGGGAAAGGCGAAAAGAACCCCGGCGAGGGGAGUGAAAAAGAACCUGAAACCGUGUACGUACAAGCAGUGGGAGCACAGGUUUACCUGUGUGACUGCGUACCUUUUGUAUAAUGGGUCAGCGACUUAUAUUCUGUAGCAAGGUUAACCGUAUAGGGGAGCCGGAGGGAAACCGAGUCUUAACCGGGCGUUAAGUUGCAGGGUAUAGACCCGAAACCCGGUGAUCUAGCCAUGGGCAGGUUGAAGGUUGGGUAACACUAACUGGAGGACCGAACCGACUAAUGUUGAAAAAUUAGCGGAUGACCUGUGGCUGGGGGUGAAAGGCCAAUCAAACCGGGAGAUAGCUGGUUCUCCCCGAAAGCUAUUUAGGUAGCGCCUCGUGAAUUCAUCUCCGGGGGUAGAGCACUGUUUCGGCUAGGGGGCCAUCCCGGCUUACCAACCCGAUGCAAACUGCGAAUACCGGAGAAUGUUAUCACGGGAGACACACGGCGGGUGCUAACGUCCGUCGUGAAGAGGGAAACAACCCAGACCGCCAGCUAAGGUCCCAAAGUCAUGGUUAAGUGGGAAACGAUGUGGGAAGGCCCAGACAGCCAGGAUGUUGGCUUAGAAGCAGCCAUCAUUUAAAGAAAGCGUAAUAGCUCACUGGUCGAGUCGGCCUGCGCGGAAGAUGUAACGGGGCUAAACCAUGCACCGAAGCUGCGGCAGCGACACUGUGUGUUGUUGGGUAGGGGAGCGUUCUGUAAGCCUGCGAAGGUGGCCUGUGAGGGUUGCUGGAGGUAUCAGAAGUGCGAAUGCUGACAUAAGUAACGAUAAAGCGGGUGAAAAGCCCGCUCGCCGGAAGACCAAGGGUUCCUGUCCAACGUUAAUCGGGGCAGGGUGAGUCGACCCCUAAGGCGAGGCCGAAAGGCGUAGUCGAUGGGAAACGGGUUAAUAUUCCCGUACUUGGUGUUACUGCGAAGGGGGGACGGAGAAGGCUAUGUUGGCCGGGCGACGGUUGUCCCGGUUUAAGCAUGUAGGCGGAACGAUUAGGUAAAUCCGGUCGUUUAUUAACGCUGAGGUGUGAUGACGAGGCACUACGGUGCUGAAGCAACAAAUGCCCUGCUUCCAGGAAAAGCCUCUAAGCAUCAGGUAACAUCAAAUCGUACCCCAAACCGACACAGGUGGUCAGGUAGAGAAUACCAAGGCGCUUGAGAGAACUCGGGUGAAGGAACUAGGCAAAAUGGUGCCGUAACUUCGGGAGAAGGCACGCUGACACGUAGGUGAAGUGAUUUACUCAUGGAGCUGAAGUCAGUCGAAGAUACCAGCUGGCUGCAACUGUUUAUUAAAAACACAGCACUGUGCAAACACGAAAGUGGACGUAUACGGUGUGACGCCUGCCCGGUGCCGGAAGGUUAAUUGAUGGGGUCAGCGCAAGCGAAGCUCCUGAUCGAAGCCCCGGUAAACGGCGGCCGUAACUAUAACGGUCCUAAGGUAGCGAAAUUCCUUGUCGGGUAAGUUCCGACCUGCACGAAUGGCGUAAUGAUGGCCAGGCUGUCUCCACCCGAGACUCAGUGAAAUUGAACUCGCUGUGAAGAUGCAGUGUACCCGCGGCAAGACGGAAAGACCCCGUGAACCUUUACUAUAGCUUGACACUGAACAUUGAGCCUUGAUGUGUAGGAUAGGUGGGAGGCUUUGAAGUGUGGACGCCAGUCUGCAUGGAGCCAACCUUGAAAUACCACCCUUUAAUGUUUGAUGUUCUAACGUGGACCCGUAAUCCGGGUUGCGGACAGUGUCUGGUGGGUAGUUUGACUGGGGCGGUCUCCUCCUAAAGAGUAACGGAGGAGCACGAAGGUUGGCUAAUCCUGGUCGGACAUCAGGAGGUUAGUGCAAUGGCAUAAGCCAGCCUGACUGCGAGCGUGACGGCGCGAGCAGGUGCGAAAGCAGGUCAUAGUGAUCCGGUGGUUCUGAAUGGAAGGGCCAUCGCUCAACGGAUAAAAGGUACUCCGGGGAUAACAGGCUGAUACCGCCCAAGAGUUCAUAUCGACGGCGGUGUUUGGCACCUCGAUGUCGGCUCAUCACAUCCUGGGGCUGAAGUAGGUCCCAAGGGUAUGGCUGUUCGCCAUUUAAAGUGGUACGCGAGCUGGGUUUAGAACGUCGUGAGACAGUUCGGUCCCUAUCUGCCGUGGGCGCUGGAGAACUGAGGGGGGCUGCUCCUAGUACGAGAGGACCGGAGUGGACGCAUCACUGGUGUUCGGGUUGUCAUGCCAAUGGCACUGCCCGGUAGCUAAAUGCGGAAGAGAUAAGUGCUGAAAGCAUCUAAGCACGAAACUUGCCCCGAGAUGAGUUCUCCCUGAGACUUAAAGUCUCCUGAAGGAACGUUGAAGACGACGACGUUGAUAGGCCGGGUGUGUAAGCGCAGCGAUGCGUUGAGCUAACCGGUACUAAUGAACCGUGAGGCUUAACCUUACAACGCCGAAGGUGUUU
Molecule: ribosomal RNA, 2935 nt
Filed under: Salmonella enterica subsp. enterica serovar Weslaco str. 247K
Lineage: Bacteria; Pseudomonadati; Pseudomonadota; Gammaproteobacteria; Enterobacterales; Enterobacteriaceae
Description: bacterial LSU rRNA
Rfam family: Bacterial large subunit ribosomal RNA
Source: RNAcentral